UCCCAUGUGGCUCAGUUGGAAGAGCAUGGUGUUUGCAACGCCAGGGUUGUGGGAUUGAUUCCCACGGGGGAC
RNAcentral lists this transfer RNA (72 nucleotides) under Salmo salar (Atlantic salmon). It matches the Rfam family "tRNA". Rfam says of the family: Transfer RNA (tRNA) molecules are approximately 80 nucleotides in length. The record is from Rfam by way of RNAcentral. Lineage: Eukaryota; Metazoa; Chordata; Actinopteri; Salmoniformes; Salmonidae.